GGUUGGUCCGAGUACAGUGGUGUUUACAACUAAUUGAUCACAACCAGUUACAGGUUCCUUUGUUCCUUCUCCAUUCCCACUGCUUCACUUGACCAGCCUAAA
This 102-nucleotide Y RNA is filed under the name Propithecus coquereli (Coquerel's sifaka). RNAcentral describes it as "Y RNA (ENSPCOG00000005767.1)". It matches the Rfam family "Y RNA". Rfam says of the family: Y RNAs are components of the Ro ribonucleoprotein particle (Ro RNP), in association with Ro60 and La proteins. The Y RNAs and Ro60 and La proteins are well conserved, but the function of the Ro RNP is not known. In humans the RNA component can be one of four small RNAs -- hY1, hY3, hY4 and hY5. The record is from Rfam by way of RNAcentral. Lineage: Eukaryota; Metazoa; Chordata; Mammalia; Primates; Indriidae.